GGGGUUGACUGGAUUUGACGGCGAGAUGAAAUGGUAUGUAAGCACGCGGAGAUUUGGUUGUUUUCUCCCUAAUCAAAGCAAUCAGAAAAUUAAUUGGCGAAAACAAUUACGCUCUCGCUGCCUAAUCGAAGCAUAGUAGAUUACUGGCUUAAUUGCGUCACCAGGUGAUGCAACGAGACACCGCUCCAAGGAUGUUUUUCCGAAUCUGAAGACUCAGCGGUGCAGGUAAAUCGGAGAUAGUUGAGGUUGGCCUCGCAACCUUGAUGACACUUUUAGAGGAUAAGUCUGUAGUUGGUGGUUCAGGUCUUGCUACAGAACGAAAACCAAAGGCUGAAAUAAGCGUGUAGAAAGCGUAUGAUUUCCUUGUGCGGACGUGGGUUCGAAUCCCACCAGCUCCACUU
Molecule: non-coding RNA, 401 nt
Rfam family: transfer-messenger RNA
About the family: Bacterial tmRNA, also known as 10Sa RNA or SsrA, is named for its dual tRNA and mRNA-like properties.
Source: Rfam